Thalassophryne amazonica is the source of this 116-nucleotide long non-coding RNA. RefSeq lists it as uncharacterized. NCBI's taxonomy places the organism in Eukaryota, Metazoa, Chordata, Actinopteri, Batrachoidiformes, Batrachoididae. The transcript has 4 exons. The record is from RefSeq and is a predicted model, not a curated record.
ACCAUCCCUUAGAAUGGGCCUUUUUUAGACAUCAGUGGGUCUAUGUGAAGCAGAAUAAAUUAAAAUAAUUCAAGAUUUGUAAUGUUUUUAAUCUACUGUAAGAGACAACUUAUGGC